UACGGAGGGCGCAAGCGUUGUUCGGAAUCACUGGGCGUAAAGCGCGUGUAGGCGGCUUGGCAAGUCGGGUGUGAAAUCCCGAGGCUCAACCUCGGAACUGCACUCGAAACUGCUUGGCUCGAGUCCCGGAGAGGGUGGCGGAAUUCCCGGUGUAGGGGUGAAAUCCGUAGAUAUCGGGAGGAACACCAGUGGCGAAGGCGGCCUGCUGGACGGUGACUGACGCUGAGACGCGAAAGCGUGGGGAGCAAACAGG
RNAcentral lists this ribosomal RNA (253 nucleotides) under uncultured bacterium. Its description in RNAcentral is "partial 16S ribosomal RNA". It matches the Rfam family "Bacterial small subunit ribosomal RNA", at positions 524 to 776 of the family's 1533-position model. The record is from RNAcentral.